ACAAUGUAAUAUUAUACAUAUCCUAUAUAUUACUACUAUUUUCCUAGGGGAUGCUGAGGUUGUGCUGCCAAUGGAUAAGUGAUAGAGCCUCCCUAGUCCCUAUGACUCAAAACUUAGCUUUAAAUUUAGCAGGGUUGUAUAUCACUCUGGUAUCACUUUUAGAUCUUGUCCCUGAUUAUGGGCCAAUGAUUUUUCUUCCCAUCAUGUAUCCUGUCACAUCUUUCUGCAAUCUGGAACAUUAGCCAAUGCAUUGCCUAACAUGCAUUUUGUGUGGUAAACACAGAUUCAAUGAUUUGAAAUAUUCCUAGGAAUUGUGAAUAUUUACCGGGAUCUUGUUUCCCAUUCUCUCUACACAAUGCUCCAUAUGUGUUUCGAAUAUGAACACCCAAAAAAGAAAAAACAAGUGCUCCUGAUUUUCAUCGCUCUGUUACAAAAGAUGUACCUCUUAUCAAUAAUAGUGUCUCUUUCAUUUAUAUGGACUUUAGUUGGUAUUUGGUAGCCUGUUUCAUCUAAUUCUCCAUCCACACAAGGAAAAUUUAUUCAUUCCAUGAGCCCAUAAAUCAUCUGCAUAUCUAUCAGGAAGACUUCGGUCUCUGAUUUUUUCCCAAGCUGAAACAAAAGAUGGUUUGAAGACUUCGGACUGAAUUAUGAUCUAGCUUACUACAGCGAUAAAUACAUACUUUGCAAUUCACAAGUUCCUUCCAGAUAUGCGAAUCCUCAGAGUGUUUCUGAACCAUGUCCCAACUAGUAGUUGCCAUAUAUCUCUUUUUCAUCCAUUUUAACCAAAUGGAUUCAUCUUUUGUCAUUAUUCUCCAAAAUUUUCUAACUUUGGAUGCUUCACAACAGUCCUCAAUAUGUGUUUCUUUUUUAUUCUGCCAAAAAUAGAAGGAAAACAACUUAGAGGUUAUAUGAUAUAUCACAAGUGUAUCUAAAAACAAAAAUAUUAAGUAUAAAAAAUGAAAAUAUAAAAGAUUUGGUUUCUUGUAAUUAAUAUCAAGGUUUAAAAACCGGUUAACCGGUAACCGGUUCUGGCUUACCGGUUUUCCGGUUAGACCGGUUAACCACCGGUUAACCAGUGGUUAACCGGUAGGGGUAUUUUCGUAAAUUUUUUUAAAAUACAGAAAUUAUGUUAUAUACUUAUAUAUCUAUUCCAUGUUUAUAUCCAUGUUUAUAGUAAUUCAAAAUAGUCAUUCAAAAUAGUAAUGCAAAUAAGUAAUUAAUUCCAUAAUGUAAUUCAAAAUAUCCUAAGCCUAAGAUAUCUAUAAGGAGUAAGAUUUAAACUUAUUAAAAUAAAGCCUUGAAAUGAGGCUUUAAUAAAUUAAACAUAAUGGGCUUUAUUAAAUAAAGCCCAUAAGGGAAUUAUUUAUAACUGAGACGGGUAACCGGGUCGGGUAGCCGGGUCGGGUGCGGGUCAGACCCCGCCCCAUCGGCCCAUUUACCCGUUCCAACUAACCGGUCACCGGUUAGUUGGAUUUUACCGGUCAGCCGGUUAACCGCCGGUUUUUAAACCUUGAUUAAUAUUAUUGAACAUAGCUAUUUUUGAACUGAACUUUUUGACUUGUUUUUUUUAAUCCUCGAGUUUAUUUUAUAUUUAAUAUUUUUCACAUUGGAAUAAAAUUUCUUUAAAUAAAAUCUAUCAUAUUAAGCUAUUUAUCAUCACAUACUGUCUUUUUUAGACAUCAUUCUAUUUUCUUGUGUUUUUUCCGACUUUUUCCAACAUGUUUUAUAAGGGUACCAGAAACAAGCAGCAUUUCUGAUUUUGAAGCAGCUGCUCAAGUUUGUUUGCCAGUUAUAAAUGGAUUACUAACUGAACUUAAAAAUGGAACGUAUCCUAAAGAAUCAUUUUUGAAUGUCGAAAUACCGACCGAUUCCUUAAAUCACAAGGUAACAUUAGAAAAAUACAGUUUAUGAAAUUUCUAUUACUUUUGUUAAAGUAGAAUACAAUUAGCAUAUGUAAUAUUUUAUAGUUCUUUUAUAGUAGCAACUAGCAAACAUUCCCGCCACAUAGUAGUGGGUUAGGUAGGAUCAUAACUGAUGAUGUUAGGUUCAGAAGGGACUCUUGCACCACAACCAAUAGUGUUUAGUCGAGUUUGGAUCGAAAAUCGAAUCCCUAGAAGUAAAAGGAUCUUGAACCUAUCGAACAGGUAUCAGAUUGGGAAUCAUAUCUCUAAAUCUAAUUCCAAUCGAGAACCUACCCAAAUUGAUGGAAAAAAUCCGCCACCAAUAGUCUGCCACUAACCACUAUUGGUGGAAGAAAUCCAUCACCAAUAGUCCGCCAUACAAGGUCUAUUUUUUUGUAGUGUGAAAUAGAAAAUGUCAACAACUGGUGUAUUGAAUUAGUGGUGCGAGUCAGAAAACGUAUCGGAGGUGGGAAAGCUUAAUACAAAUUUGGGUCUGGACCAAAUUGUGUUACCACCAAGUCUAAAUACGGCUAUCCUGAUAUCCAACUUGGAUUCACCUACUCAGGUCAACCUGAUACCGCUACUGAACCAGGUCAGUCCGACCGUCUUUACACCCAUCUUGAUUCCUCAGAGAAGUAGCUUUAAUCUGACUUGCCUAACUCACCCAUUAAUCUGCCUCCUGAAUCCCAACCCAUCUCUCAACUCUUCCAAGAUUAAGAGAAAGAUUGGCGAACCUUUCAAAUGGCUAUCUUGAUAGGCUAAACAGACAAGGCUCGUUCAGAACACCUCAGUUGAUAGGCUGUUGUUAAUUGCUUCAGCGAUGAAAGAUAGACGAGGAGAGGAUUAAUUAGAGGAUGAACCUUCAGUUUAGAUACUGAUGUAUACUGCAUCAUGCUAAAAGUAAGUCCCCUUCUCAUCCACAAGAAGCCACUCUCCAUGGCUCUCACAGUGUGGAAUCUAAGGAGGUUGAACUCGGGUAAAUGGGUUAUAGACAAUUUGAGCUCAAAAAACAAUUCAGCAGUAUGAACUCAGAUAUCUUUGGCUUAUUAGAGACUAUGGCCAGAGCAAAGAAUUUUCAGAAUUUAUGUGAACGUUUUGGCGAGGGAUGGGAAUGUUUUUCCAACUAUGUCCCUUCUAUGCCCGAUCAACCAAACUCCGUUUGGGGGAAAGAUAUUUGAAAAGGAUUGGUCUUCAUCUUCAAUGACAAAUUCAUCCACCUACAUUCGUCUAAUAUAGUUGGGCUGUAUUUUCUUAUUACCAUAGUCUGUGGUAUAUAUCUUUAUUUAGAGGGAGGAGAGGAAGGCGUUUGGGAAGAUCUUAGCUUAAUUAGUAUUUAAUAGCAUAAUUAACAAGCUGCCUGUAAGUCGAUUUGCAAUCCACGAACAGAUCUGAUCUCUCCUGAUCAGAUUCUCUCUACCUCACACGAGAAUGGUGGCUCUCUCUAUUCUCUCAAUUCUGACUUCACACAAAAGUACUGAUCUGAAACGUGUAAUCAGAUCAGAAAAAAUAGAAGUGAAGGAAAAAUAAGAACACGCAACAAAAGAGAAUGUUUUGUUAACGAGGUUCAGCUGUACUUACUACUCGGGGGUGAUUGCCUGGGUUCCUCCUACCCUUGGUGACAAGAAUUACAAAUGGCAGAAAAUUAUCCAGCACACUUUACAAGAGAAAAAUUAGAUGCUAUUUAUACUUAGUUAUCUAGGGAGACGUGCCCUAACCCUUGAUAAUUAAUUAAUCCAGCAGAUCCAAUAAGAAUUAUUAGCCCAUGAGGAAUAUUCUCCAUCUAACUUAUGCCUUCCUUAUAAUUUAAUUAAUCGCUCACUGAAAUAAUUGCAAAUAACUCCUUGCAAUUAAUUUCAAUAUAAUUAACUCCAACACUGCCUUGGAUCUAUUGAUGACUUUAACAAGACAAGAACUCCAGAUGAGAGAGUUUGGCAAUGGCCAGGGAGUAUAUACUACUAUAUAGCCAUGGAGGGCUUGGGGAAUUCAUUGUUAUCAAAUAUUUUCACCUCGUUAGGAAGGGUUUCACUUGGAACAACAACUCUUCGGAAAGCAAAUUCAGGCAAAGCAAGUUAGACAGAGACUUCACCAAUCUGAAUUGGAUUAAUAGGUGGCCAACAACCAGGGUGAAAUAUUUCAGAGGCGCCUCUAGUGACCACCCCUCCAUGAAUGUUAUCUUCUCUAUUGAGAAGGGGGGGAACAUUUCAAGGUGCAUUACUCGUGCUUCAUUUUCAGUCAUGGCAGAAGGUACACUCAUCACUUUACCAUUCACUAACCAAAGAUGAGUAAGACAAGGAGACUAGACUUUUUUAUUUUGUUAUGGGUGAACUAAUCAGAAUGAUAAUUUAGGCACUUAAGGAAAGCAGAAUGUAUUGAAUAUUUUCACAUUAAAAAUAAGAAUUAUAUUUUAAAUCUAUAUGGAAUUAUGGAUCAUAUUUCUAAAUUAUAAUAAUAAGAAAAUACUAUUAACAUAUGUAAAAAUUGUAAUUAAGGCUUUUACAAUCUUUUAACUUGAGUUUUUUUUUGAAACAAGCAACUUUUAAACUAUGUUUUAUUACCAUUUGAUUAUAAGGUUUGUUUCUAACGACCAUGUUUAUCUUGGAUUGUUUACCAUUCUUUUUGUUUUCAUUAGGGAUAUAAAGUUGCUAAACAAGGAAAAAAAAUGAUAAAGGUUGGGUGGAUUUCAACAACUCCCAAUUCUUCCGUAGAAAAAACAUAUGUUGCUGCAGAUGUAGAGGAAAAUUCAGGGGAAGACUCAUCUUCAUCGGACGGACUUUGGUUUAAGAGAAAGGUAAUUUUUUUUUUGUAAUUUAUAAAUAUUUUAUUCAGAAAAGAUGAUAGUACAGGAAUUUCUUCUUCUGAAAGUACGGUAGGAUAUUUUCAAUAUCCCUGCCAAAGCAAAUGCAACCCUUGUAACUAGGAUAACCAGAAAUCAAUAAACAAACAAAGAAACUAAACAUAAAUGCAUAGUUGUAUCCUACUGGCCAAGUUCCUACAUCCUAGGAAUGUACAAUAUUCAAUAUUUUGCUAUCUUAUAUAAAUGAGAUCAACUUUAAUCUUGCAAGGUUCGAAGUUCAAUUAGAAGGUUCUUUCCCUUGCUUCCUUUUAUUUCUUCAUUCCAGAGAUGCCAAACUAUGGGAUAGGGGCAUUCUGGUUAAUUGGAGCUUGUUUCUUGUUAUCGGCUACAGCCUACAGCUAGUGUACACACCAACGUGCAUUAUAUCAAAUACAUUUUCUGUCAUCCUAUUACCAAAUAUUUUGUUGAUUAUUUUCAAACCCAAGAUUAUGUUUCACCUAGAACAUUUGUACUUCUUUCAUAUGUUAUGUUCCUUGCUAUUAAUUUCAUUUUUCAAAGUUUGAAUAUGAGCAUAGUUUUAUGAACAUUAUGCCUCUUAGAUAGAAUUGUUUUGGAAGCUUCUUUUUAAGAUAUUCUCAAAAUCUCAAUGUCUACAAUCUAAUAUGUUUUUAUUUGACAUUUACUUAUCCCAUCAUUUUUUUCCAAUUUGAAAAGAUAUUGAGUCAAGAAGAUGAUAAAGAAAAGCAAGAUGAAGACUGUGAGGAUAUCGACCAUAAAUUCCUGAAGGAAGGAUAUGUAAGUUUUUUUUUAUCAAUGUCAAUAAAAUAUUCUUAAUGAUCUGUUUUAAACCUAUAUUUCAAUCUACAAUUAAAAUAAAUUCUACCACAGGUAACAAUCACACCACUUUGUGGUCUGUCAAAUGCUUCAAAAGAAGAUCGAUCUUUCUUUGGUAACUUUGCGCAUAACUUGUCAUCUCUGUAGAAAGUAAGUUCUCAAACAUUUGCAUUAAAGAUCUCAUAUGAAUAUUAUUCUGUCAACUUUGCUUACAUUCUAAAUUUCAAUCAGUUUUCAAGGAUGGAAGUUUCUUUGAAGUUAUUACAUAGGAUUUGACAUCACAAAUCCUAUAUCUGUUUUAAAAUUUCAAGUUCAUUCUAUUGAACCUUAACAUUCAAUAAUUAUGCAUACAACAUUGGUGAACUCAAAAAAUUAUUCUGUAAUUGUGAAUUCAUAUUUAAAUUUGUGCAGUGGCUAGUGUGGCUUAAUGAUGUGUAAAAUUUCUUUCUUGGACUUAAGUACAAUUUUAGACAUGAUACUCCUAAAAAACCUAUUUGAAAAUCACAUGAACUCACAUGUCAAUAGGGUUAUAGGGAUGCAAACGAGUCGAACCGAGCUUUGGUGUUGAGCUAAGCUCGUUAAAGUUUUAGCCAGACUUGGGUUCGGGCUCGCCGGCUCGGCUAGAAAUCUAUUUUAGAAAGCUCAGAGUUCGACUCGGAGCUCGAUAAGCUCGACUACAAAACUGGCAUCGCAAACAAUAUAACCUUAAAAAAUUAAUUUUACAAUACAUGUUGUAACUUGUAAGUUGUAACCCGAACCUAUGAGUUUUUAUAUAAUUUCUAGGGUUGAUGGUGUUUUAGCUCAUUUAUUUCUAGGAUAUGAUGGGGAAGGUCUGUCUUCUCAAUCACAUUAUACUACAGAGAAAUAAAUUGAGAUUUAACAAUUGUAACCCUAAGUACAAUGAAUAAAUUUUCCUACUAAUUAACUAACCUAAUUACGAUUCAUUUGUAAUUAAAACAAAAAAAAAUCUAAAAGAAAUGAAGGUCAUCACGGUAACUGGACCUGAAUCAUGGUGGAGGUAUUUAUAAAAGGGAAGAAAGGUUGGAGAUGAAGUUCCAUGCGUGACAUAUCAGUGGAAUGCAUGUGGCCUGUCAUCACGUACAAGCGCCGCCUGCGUGGUGAGAUGGGGGUGUACGACUACUACUACCAUCAGAGUGGGAAAAAAGAUGACAAAAAUUUUAAUUUAAAAAAUGAAGAUUAAACAUAUACUUUUAGAGCAAUUGCUAUAGUUAGUGUGUUGGAGAUUGUAUCCUUGAUGUUGUUGGAAGGCAUGGAUAUAUAAGAAGUUGGAAGAUAAUGAUGAAAUUCGCAGGUGGAUUGUAAGAUUACCAAAGAUUUACCUUAGUGUGCAAAAACAAAGAUGUUCGCCUUAUCGAAA
This 6907-nucleotide long non-coding RNA is filed under the name Zostera marina. Its description in RNAcentral is "long non-coding RNA (ZMAR_LNC000005)". Lineage: Eukaryota; Viridiplantae; Streptophyta; Magnoliopsida; Alismatales; Zosteraceae. The record is from RNAcentral.